AUUCCUGGGGGUAAAACACAAAAAACAGAGUUUUCCCUUAGCAGAUGGCUUUUGAUUUCAAGACGUUUCCUUCAAAGACGCUUUGGGGACCCUCCAGACCCCAGAUAUGUCCUCUUCAGUCGACACAGGUGUUGCUUUGUCCUUAGAACUCCUGCUGAGGUCACAGGCACCAAAUGUCAAAUGGUAAAUUCUGCAAGGGGAGGGGGUGAGAUACUAAAUCAACUGCUUACUUAACUGCACUUCUUACAAAUCUCAGACCAGCAAAACACAUCUCUCAUUCUUACCUUUAUGGUCAGAGCUGCUUGAGUCUAAGGGCAUUUUGGUUUGGAGGCUGUGUUUGGAAAACCUUCUGGUACCACUCUAUCUGGGACUAGUCAGGCAGCCUCCCACCCCACCCUCGCCCGGGCAUGCACCGCCAUUUAUCAUGAAAAGAAUGCAGCACCUGCUUCCCCCGCUAAAUUUCCUGCUUUUUGUAAAAGCUUCUAAAAUAGAUUUUGAAUUGUACGGUUUUCAUAAAUGCUGUUUUUGCAAAGUGUUUCUUGAAUAAUUAUUUGUGCUUAGUGUUUGAAAAAUAACUUUGCUCAAAGAGAAGGAAGAUAACGUGUCUAGUGACUAUAACAUUAAUGGGAGCACCCCUGAGCCAAGUUGAAGGAGAUGGAGAUGAGACACGUGGAUAAUCAACAUUUGAGCUCCUGGAAGGGAGCCAUAAACAAGUGGCAGACUUCCGUGGAGCUUCAUCGAUUCGUGUUCACUGAGCCUCAUUCAUUAGGGCAGUUGGGAAGCAGCAGGUGUACACACGUGUGCACAUGUGUGUAUUCCAAGGGGUGUAAGGACGAGAGAUUGGUCCAAGCAUCCUACCAAUGUGACUUCUGCUUCAUCCCAAGAUGAGUCAGAGGCUUUCAAAGUAUUGAAGAAAAUAGGAAACGCUCCCCUAGUUCAUGACGUAAAGCAGGAAGAAGCUUGAAGUGGGGCAGGCUGGGUUCCGGGUGCUGCACAAAAGCCCAAAAUAAAAACAGAGACUUUUCAGCCCAGAAAGAAAGCCACCUUGUCCGCUGCCCAGGCUGGAAAAGACACGGUCCAGAACAUUUAUUCUGCCAUGCUUCAGUCUUUCAGGCAGAAAAAGCCCUGGCAGGAGUUGAUUUUGCAAGUUGAACAGAGAAGACUCGUCUUUGGAGUGGAGGGGAUCAAAUGAUACUAGAUGUGAAAGCACUUUGGAAAGUUAAAGGGAUUAUACAAAGGUUUGUGGCAACCCCGUGUCAAGCACGUCUAUCGGCGCCAUUUUUCCAACAGCAUUUGCUCACUUCGUGUCUCUGUGUCACGUUAUGGCACGAUGCUAAUCGCUCCAGGAGAUGAUCUCUUUUCGUCCUCCCAACCGUCUAUGUGGUUGCCCUCUCUGGAGCUCACACUCAGCCUGGCCAAAACUAAGCUCACCAUCACUUCUACGUUCAUCCCAGACUAACUCCUCAUCCGAUGUGUCUAUUUCUGGGCAGUGACACCAUCUCCUAAAGACAAAGCCAAAAGCAGGCUCAAGGAGCCAUGCCCUGAUGAGACUUUGUCGAUCUACUUCUUGGCUCUGUUUCAGGCCUACAUCAGUCAAAGUCAAAUUGUUGCUGCCUUUAGCAACAAUUGGUCACAUCUGGUCCUCGG
This is a long non-coding RNA of Balaenoptera acutorostrata (minke whale), 1647 nucleotides long. RefSeq lists it as uncharacterized. NCBI's taxonomy places the organism in Eukaryota, Metazoa, Chordata, Mammalia, Artiodactyla, Balaenopteridae. The transcript has 5 exons. The record is from RefSeq and is a predicted model, not a curated record.